RNAcentral lists this ribosomal RNA (253 nucleotides) under uncultured bacterium. RNAcentral's name for it is "partial 16S ribosomal RNA". It matches the Rfam family "Bacterial small subunit ribosomal RNA", at positions 524 to 776 of the family's 1533-position model. The record is from RNAcentral.
UACGUAGGGAGCAAGCGUUGUCCGGAAUCAUUGGGCGUAAAGCGCGCGUAGGUGGCUUCGUAAGUCCGUUGUGAAAGUCAAAGGCUCAACCUUUGAAAGCCGAUGGAUGCUGUGAAGCUAGAGUACGGAAGAGGCGAGUGGAAUUCCUGGUGUAGCGGUGGAAUGCGCAGAUAUCAGGAGGAACACCAAUAGCGAAGGCAGCUCGCUGGGACGUUACUGACACUGAGGCGCGAAAGCGUGGGGAGCGAACAGG